AAGAAACCAACAGGGAUUGCCCCAGUAACGGCGAGUGAAGCGGCAACAGCUCAAAUUUGAAAUCUGACUUCGGUCCGAGUUGUAAUUUGCAGAGGAUGCUUCGGCGUUGGACCCGUGCUAGGUUCCUUGGAACAGGACGUCAUAGAGGGUGAGAACCCCGUCUUUGCUCGGGACCCCUUCGCCGUGUGAAGCUCCUUCGACGAGUCGAGUUGUUUGGGAAUGCAGCUCUAAGCGGGAGGUAAAUUUCUUCUAAAGCUAAAUAACGGCCAGAGACCGAUAGCGCACAAGUAGAGUGAUCGAAAGAUGAAAAGCACUUUGGAAAGAGAGUUAAACAGUACGUGAAAUUGUUGAAAGGGAAGCUCUUGCUGCCAGACUUGACCCGGUUGCUCAGCCGUCCUUCUGGGCGGUGUAUUCUUCCGUGGGCAGGCCAGCAUCAGUUCGGGCGGCCGGAUAAAGGCGCCAGGAAUGUAGCCCCUCGGGGUGUUAUAGCCUGGCGCGUCAUGCGGUCCGCCUGGACUGAGGACAGCGUUUUCUUGGAUGCUG
Molecule: ribosomal RNA, 543 nt
Filed under: uncultured fungus
Lineage: Eukaryota; Fungi
Description: eukaryotic LSU rRNA
Rfam family: Eukaryotic large subunit ribosomal RNA
Source: RNAcentral